This 1294-nucleotide long non-coding RNA is filed under the name Ananas comosus (pineapple). RNAcentral describes it as "long non-coding RNA (ACOM_LNC026486)". The record is from RNAcentral. Lineage: Eukaryota; Viridiplantae; Streptophyta; Magnoliopsida; Poales; Bromeliaceae.
UGGAAUGAAUUUAUUUGAGUUACUCAAUGAUAUUUUGACUUUAAAAUUUAAGCUUUUUACUUAAUCUUAGUAAAUUUAUAACAUGACGUAUACUAACUGAACCUAUAAAGAUAAAUGAUACAUUCAAAUUCUAAAGUCAAAAUUUAUUGUCUAAUUCAAAUUAAACAAAUUUAAAAGUUGGAUAGUAAAAUCAAGAGGCAAUUGCUUGUAUACUCUUGAAAAUUUUCCUACUUUCUUUUAGAAGGCUAAUAUUAAAACUACCUUUUUAAAGUUUUAAAGUCUUUCAAAUAUACCCAUAAGGGCGCGUUUGGUUCGCACUAUGAAAGAUUACUUGGAGUAAAAUGAUAUUUUAGAAUCUUAUUCCUAUUCAUCCUAUUAAUAUGAAUACAGUAUUUCGGUGUUUGGUUCGUACGGUCAUAUUAUUUAGUCAAUAUUAUUUAAGAUUACGAAAAAUAUAUAAUUAAUUAAUUUAUAUUUUUAAUCAAUUUUAAAUAAUACUAUAAAAAAAUUUCAACAUCUUUUUAGAAAAGAGGGAGAGAAUAUAGAUUAGAAAGAAAAAGCAUAAUUAAAGAAAUAGAAAGAGAAAUAGAGUCGAGAUUAGAGAGAAUGAGAGGGUUGAGAUUUUAGAAAAAAAAGGGGGAGAAAUAAUUUAAUUUAGAGAGAGAAAAAGAGUUGAAGUUUAGAGAGAAAAAAAUAAGUUUAGAGAGAGAUAUGAGGUUAGAGUGCAAAAAAAAAUAAUACCAACUAGCCAACGGAUAAGAGAUUAGACAUAUUAUAAUUACCCAAAUCCAUUAAUAUAAGGAUACCCACUCUCCCUCAAAGGAAUGUGAUUAGUACUUUGGGAUGCAUCUCAUUCCCAAGUAAAUCCAAUAUUACCAACUAGAUUACUUAGUACGUUUAGCCAAACACCUUCAUUUUUUUUAAUUCAUAUUGGAUUACUAGAAAUCUUAUAAAGAUAGCGCGAACCAAACGCACCCUAAAGUUAAUUUCUAUUAGUAAACAGUUAGGAACAAUUGUUAUUUCUGAAAAAUUAUUAUUUUACCCUUUCAAAUAUACCCUUCUACUGACACCAACUUUUCUUAUUUGCCCUUAAGUUAGAGAUAAAAUAAAUAUUUUCACUAUUUUUUAACCAUAGUUGAAAUUUAACUCAGGUUUAACCUAAGAUAACUUAACGGGAACUAACUGCAGAUGUAUUUUUGAAUAACGGAGAAAUAUAUGAGAAAUAUAUUUGAAACAAAAAAAAUAGAAAUAAAGGAGAUAUUUAAGAGGUUUUGAGGGUUAUAUACACAAUUAU